GGGUUGUGAGGUUAAGCGACUAAGCGUACACGGUGGAUGCCCUGGCAGUCAGAGGCGAUGAAGGGCGUGCUAAUCUGCGAUAAGCGCCGGUAAGGUGAUAUGAACCGUUAUAACCGGCGAUACCCGAAUGGGGAAACCCAGUGUGACUCGUCACACUAUCAUUAACUGAAUCCAUAGGUUAAUGAGGCGAACCGGGGGAACUGAAACAUCUAAGUACCCCGAGGAAAAGAAAUCAACCGAGAUUCCCCCAGUAGCGGCGAGCGAACGGGGAGGAGCCCAGAGCCUGAAUCAGCAUGUGUGUUAGUGGAAGCGUCUGGAAAGGCGUGCGAUACAGGGUGACAGCCCCGUACACAAAAGCGCAUGUGCUGUGAGCUCGAUGAGUAGGGCGGGACACGUGGUAUCCUGUCUGAAUAUGGGGGGACCAUCCUCCAAGGCUAAAUACUCCUGACUGACCGAUAGUGAACCAGUACCGUGAGGGAAAGGCGAAAAGAACCCCGGCGAGGGGAGUGAAAAAGAACCUGAAACCGUGUACGUACAAGCAGUGGGAGCCCCACCACUAAGCCAGUGGUGAACUCCACAUACGCAUCCUUUGCUGAGGAUACGGUUAACGGAGCGAAAGCGACGUUCAACCUCAAAAGAAGCAGAGGGGGCUUAGUGGUGGGGUGACUGCGUACCUUUUGUAUAAUGGGUCAGCGACUUAUAUUCUGUAGCAAGGUUAACCGUAUAGGGGAGCCGGAGGGAAACCGAGUCUUAACCGGGCGUUAAGUUGCAGGGUAUAGACCCGAAACCCGGUGAUCUAGCCAUGGGCAGGUUGAAGGUUGGGUAACACUAACUGGAGGACCGAACCGACUAAUGUUGAAAAAUUAGCGGAUGACCUGUGGCUGGGGGUGAAAGGCCAAUCAAACCGGGAGAUAGCUGGUUCUCCCCGAAAGCUAUUUAGGUAGCGCCUCGUGAAUUCAUCUCCGGGGGUAGAGCACUGUUUCGGCUAGGGGGCCAUCCCGGCUUACCAACCCGAUGCAAACUGCGAAUACCGGAGAAUGUUAUCACGGGAGACACACGGCGGGUGCUAACGUCCGUCGUGAAGAGGGAAACAACCCAGACCGCCAGCUAAGGUCCCAAAGUCAUGGUUAAGUGGGAAACGAUGUGGGAAGGCCCAGACAGCCAGGAUGUUGGCUUAGAAGCAGCCAUCAUUUAAAGAAAGCGUAAUAGCUCACUGGUCGAGUCGGCCUGCGCGGAAGAUGUAACGGGGCUAAACCAUGCACCGAAGCUGCGGCAGCGACGCUUAUGCGUUGUUGGGUAGGGGAGCGUUCUGUAAGCCUGUGAAGGUGGCCUGUGAGGGUUGCUGGAGGUAUCAGAAGUGCGAAUGCUGACAUAAGUAACGAUAAAGCGGGUGAAAAGCCCGCUCGCCGGAAGACCAAGGGUUCCUGUCCAACGUUAAUCGGGGCAGGGUGAGUCGACCCCUAAGGCGAGGCCGAAAGGCGUAGUCGAUGGGAAACGGGUUAAUAUUCCCGUACUUGGUGUUACUGCGAAGGGGGGACGGAGAAGGCUAUGUUGGCCGGGCGACGGUUGUCCCGGUUUAAGCGUGUAGGCUGGUUUUCCAGGCAAAUCCGGAAAAUCAAGGCUGAGGCGUGAUGACGAGGCACUACGGUGCUGAAGCAACAAAUGCCCUGCUUCCAGGAAAAGCCUCUAAGCAUCAGGUAACACGAAAUCGUACCCCAAACCGACACAGGUGGUCAGGUAGAGAAUACCAAGGCGCUUGAGAGAACUCGGGUGAAGGAACUAGGCAAAAUGGUGCCGUAACUUCGGGAGAAGGCACGCUGACACGUAGGUGAAGUGAUUUACUCAUGGAGCUGAAGUCAGUCGAAGAUACCAGCUGGCUGCAACUGUUUAUUAAAAACACAGCACUGUGCAAACACGAAAGUGGACGUAUACGGUGUGACGCCUGCCCGGUGCCGGAAGGUUAAUUGAUGGGGUCAGCGCAAGCGAAGCUCCUGAUCGAAGCCCCGGUAAACGGCGGCCGUAACUAUAACGGUCCUAAGGUAGCGAAAUUCCUUGUCGGGUAAGUUCCGACCUGCACGAAUGGCGUAAUGAUGGCCAGGCUGUCUCCACCCGAGACUCAGUGAAAUUGAACUCGCUGUGAAGAUGCAGUGUACCCGCGGCAAGACGGAAAGACCCCGUGAACCUUUACUAUAGCUUGACACUGAACAUUGAGCCUUGAUGUGUAGGAUAGGUGGGAGGCUUUGAAGCGUGGACGCCAGUCUGCGUGGAGCCGACCUUGAAAUACCACCCUUUAAUGUUUGAUGUUCUAACGUGGACCCGUAAUCCGGGUUGCGGACAGUGUCUGGUGGGUAGUUUGACUGGGGCGGUCUCCUCCUAAAGAGUAACGGAGGAGCACGAAGGUUGGCUAAUCCUGGUCGGACAUCAGGAGGUUAGUGCAAUGGCAUAAGCCAGCUUGACUGCGAGCGUGACGGCGCGAGCAGGUGCGAAAGCAGGUCAUAGUGAUCCGGUGGUUCUGAAUGGAAGGGCCAUCGCUCAACGGAUAAAAGGUACUCCGGGGAUAACAGGCUGAUACCGCCCAAGAGUUCAUAUCGACGGCGGUGUUUGGCACCUCGAUGUCGGCUCAUCACAUCCUGGGGCUGAAGUAGGUCCCAAGGGUAUGGCUGUUCGCCAUUUAAAGUGGUACGCGAGCUGGGUUUAGAACGUCGUGAGACAGUUCGGUCCCUAUCUGCCGUGGGCGCUGGAGAACUGAGGGGGGCUGCUCCUAGUACGAGAGGACCGGAGUGGACGCAUCACUGGUGUUCGGGUUGUCAUGCCAAUGGCACUGCCCGGUAGCUAAAUGCGGAAGAGAUAAGUGCUGAAAGCAUCUAAGCACGAAACUUGCCCCGAGAUGAGUUCUCCCUGAGACUUAGAGUCUCCUGAAGGAACGUUGAAGACGACGACGUUGAUAGGCCGGGUGUGUAAGCGCAGCGAUGCGUUGAGCUAACCGGUACUAAUGAACCGUGAGGCUUAACCUUACAACGCCGAAG
This 3026-nucleotide ribosomal RNA is filed under the name Salmonella enterica subsp. enterica serovar Concord. Its description in RNAcentral is "bacterial LSU rRNA". It matches the Rfam family "Bacterial large subunit ribosomal RNA". Lineage: Bacteria; Pseudomonadati; Pseudomonadota; Gammaproteobacteria; Enterobacterales; Enterobacteriaceae. The record is from RNAcentral.